RNAcentral lists this transfer-messenger RNA (363 nucleotides) under Gemmobacter megaterium. RNAcentral describes it as "Catellibacterium sp. CF17 Alphaproteobacteria transfer-messenger RNA". It matches the Rfam family "Alphaproteobacteria transfer-messenger RNA". Rfam says of the family: Bacterial tmRNA, also known as 10Sa RNA or SsrA, is named for its dual tRNA and mRNA-like properties. Lineage: Bacteria; Pseudomonadati; Pseudomonadota; Alphaproteobacteria; Rhodobacterales; Paracoccaceae. The record is from Rfam by way of RNAcentral.
GCCCUUGCAGAGCCGGGCGCAUCGCCCUAUGUAGAUAGUGUUCGCAGGCGGCAACGCUUGGGGACUAUGGGCAUAAACGCGCACGUAAUAAGCGGAUCGGACCCGGGGGCGGUACCCGGCGGCUCCACCAAUCACCCGUUCGUUGCGGGGGCAUGGGGCCGAAACAGGAUCGACGAACGUCCAAAGGUGUUUGCUUUGUCUCGGUGAGCUACCACCGUUAUCGGUGCAAAAGUACAGUUGCCAACGACAACCGUGCUCCGGUCGCUCUGGCUGCGUAAGCAGCUCGGGUAACCGAAACUUAAGCCCUUGCGCUUAGCCGCGUAAGGCGGGGUUCGCAGGUACCUGGCAACAGAAACCUGCACU